This 540-nucleotide ribosomal RNA is filed under the name uncultured bacterium. RNAcentral's name for it is "partial 16S ribosomal RNA". It matches the Rfam family "Bacterial small subunit ribosomal RNA", at positions 355 to 888 of the family's 1533-position model. The record is from RNAcentral.
UGGGGAAUUUUGGACAAUGGGCGAAAGCCUGAUCCAGCAAUGCCGCGUGUGUGAAGAAGGCCUUCGGGUUGUAAAGCACUUUUGUCCGGAAAGAAAUCCUCUGGGUUAAUACCUCGGGGGGAUGACGGUACCGGAAGAAUAAGCACCGGCUAACUACGUGCCAGCAGCCGCGGUAAUACGUAGGGUGCAAGCGUUAAUCGGAAUUACUGGGCGUAAAGCGUGCGCAGGCGGUUUUGUAAGACGGAUGUGAAAUCCCCGGGCUUAACCUGGGAACUGCAUUCGUGACUGCAAGGCUAGAGUAUGGCAGAGGGGGGUAGAAUUCCACGUGUAGCAGUGAGAUGCGUAGAGAUGUGGAGGAAUACCGAUGGCGAAGGCAGCCCCCUGGGCCAAUACUGACGCUCAUGCACGAAAGCGUGGGGAGCAAACAGGAUUAGAUACCCUGGUAGUCCACGCCCUAAACGAUGUCAACUAGUUGUUGGGGAUUCAUUUCCUUAGUAACGUAGCUAACGCGUGAAGUUGACCGCCUGGGGAGUACGGUCG